This 447-nucleotide ribosomal RNA is filed under the name uncultured bacterium. RNAcentral describes it as "partial 16S ribosomal RNA". It matches the Rfam family "Bacterial small subunit ribosomal RNA", at positions 29 to 523 of the family's 1533-position model. The record is from RNAcentral.
AGCGACCGCUGGCGGCAGGCCUAACACAUGCAAGUCGAACGCCCCACAAGGGGAGUGGCAGCCGGGUGAGUAACGCGUGGGAACGUACCCUUCGGUUCGGAAUAACUCAGGGAAACUUGGGCUAAUACCGGAUAGGUCCGUGAGGAGAAAGAUUCAUCGCCGAAGGAUCGGCCCGCGUAAGAUUAGCUAGUUGGGGAGGUAACGGCGCACCAAGGCUAUGAUCGUUAGCUGGGCUGAGAGGACGAGCAGACACACUGGGACGAAGACACGGCCCAGAAUCCUACGGGAGGCAGCAGUGGGGAAUAUUGGACAAUGGGCGCAAGCCUGAUCCAGCCAUGCCGCGUGAGUGAUGAAGGCCUUAGGGUUGUAGAGCUCGUUCGGCGGGGACGAUAAUGACGGUACCCGCAGAAGAAGCCCCGGCUAACUUCGUGCCAGCCGCCGCCGUAA